Molecule: small nuclear RNA, 21 nt
Filed under: Arabidopsis thaliana (thale cress)
Lineage: Eukaryota; Viridiplantae; Streptophyta; Magnoliopsida; Brassicales; Brassicaceae
Description: snRNA_18415
Source: RNAcentral
GAACUGGUACGGACAAGGGGA